Molecule: ribosomal RNA, 689 nt
Filed under: uncultured bacterium
Lineage: Bacteria
Description: bacterial SSU rRNA
Rfam family: Bacterial small subunit ribosomal RNA
Source: RNAcentral
GCUUGCUGAUUUGCUGACGAGUGGCGGACGGGUGAGUAAUGUCUGGGAAACUGCCUGAUGGAGGGGGAUAACUACUGGAAACGGUAGCUAAUACCGCAUAACGUCGCAAGACCAAAGAGGGGGACCUUCGGGCCUCUUGCCAUCGGAUGUGCCCAGAUGGGAUUAGCUAGUAGGUGGGGUAACGGCUCACCUAGGCGACGAUCCCUAGCUGGUCUGAGAGGAUGACCAGCCACACUGGAACUGAGACACGGUCCAGACUCCUACGGGAGGCAGCAGUGGGGAAUAUUGCACAAUGGGCGCAAGCCUGAUGCAGCCAUGCCGCGUGUAUGAAGAAGGCCUUCGGGUUGUAAAGUACUUUCAGCGGGGAGGAAGGGAGUAAAGUUAAUACCUUUGCUCAUUGACGUUACCCGCAGAAGAAGCACUGGCUAACUCCGUGCCAGCAGCCGCGGUAAUACGGAGGGUGCAAGCGUUAAUCGGAAUUACUGGGCGUAAAGCGCACGCAGGCGGUUUGUUAAGUCAGAUGUGAAAUCCCCGGGCUCAACCUGGGAACUGCAUCUGAUACUGGCAAGCUUGAGUCUCGUAGAGGGGGGUAGAAUUCCAGGUGUAGCGGUGAAAUGCGUAGAGAUCUGGAGGAAUACCGGUGGCGAAGGCGGCCCCCUGGACGAAGACUGACGCUCAGGUGCGAAAGC